AAGUUAAAAAGAAUUGAAAUUUUUCAUUCUAAACAUGAAAAUUAACCGAAACAAAAAAAAGAAUUGAAUUCUUGAAAAAUUUUAAAUCAAUUUAGUACAUCAUAGUUAUUGUUUAUUAUCACUAAUACUAUUUAGGAAAAUAUCUAUUAAAUUAUAUUUAUUAAGUAAUCAUAUAAAACAAUAACAACUAAAUCCUAAUUUCAAAUUAGUUGAAAUCGACUAUAUGCAACAUCUUUUGCCAUUCAGCUCUGUUAGACACUAA
Molecule: unclassified non-coding RNA, 262 nt
Filed under: Hevea brasiliensis (rubber tree)
Lineage: Eukaryota; Viridiplantae; Streptophyta; Magnoliopsida; Malpighiales; Euphorbiaceae
Source: RNAcentral